UACAGAGGUCCCAAGCGUUGUUCGGAUUUACUGGGCGUAAAGGGUGCGUAGGUGGUUUGGUAAGUCUGAUGUGAAAUCUCCGAGCUUAACUCGGAAAUGGCAUUGGAAACUACCUUGCUAGAGGGUUGGAGGGGGGACUGGAAUACUUGGUGUAGCAGUGAAAUGCGUAGAUAUCAAGUGGAACACCAGUGGCGAAGGCGAGUCCCUGGACAACUACUGACACUGAGGCACGAAAGCUAGGGGAGCAAACAGG
Molecule: ribosomal RNA, 253 nt
Filed under: uncultured bacterium
Lineage: Bacteria
Description: partial 16S ribosomal RNA
Rfam family: Bacterial small subunit ribosomal RNA
Source: RNAcentral